This 125-nucleotide small RNA is filed under the name Marmota monax (woodchuck). Lineage: Eukaryota; Metazoa; Chordata; Mammalia; Rodentia; Sciuridae. The record is from RNAcentral.
GCCAGGCACAGUGGUGAAUGCCUGUAAUCCCAGAAGCUUGGGAGGCUGAGGCAAGAGGAUCUCGAAUUCAAAGCCAAACUCAGCAAAAGUGAGGCACUAAGCAACUCAGUGAGACCCUGUCUCUG